CAAACACAUAGAAAAGAGAAAAGAGAGAACUAAGAGACAGCGAGAAAGAGAGAGACUGUGUGAGAGAGAGAGAGAGAGGGAGAGGGAGAGAGAGAGAGAGUUCAACCAAAUGAAGAAGAAGAAAAGAAGAGGGUUUUAUGGGAUAUCAAAAUUCAAGCUAAAAAUUAUGGAAAAUUCAUCACAAGGUGAGCAAACUAAGUAACAAGGAUAGAGAAAGCCUUAGAGUCUACCCGUGUCAACCUUUUGAAGAGCUUUCGGAAUGGAGCAAGUUAGGCUCGUGUAGAGCCAAGAAAAUCAGUGUCGUUAGCUUUGUCAAAGUUUGGUAUUUUGCUGAGUCUUAAACGUAUAUAUGUGUGAGAUAUAAAAGAUUUGUAUAUGUUUAUAGUUUAUUAUUGUAUCAUGUAGGUACAAGCUCAAUGGACAUUUUUAUUUUUGUUUUGCUUC
This is a long non-coding RNA of Camellia sinensis, 444 nucleotides long. RefSeq lists it as uncharacterized. The record is from RefSeq and is a predicted model, not a curated record. Lineage: Eukaryota; Viridiplantae; Streptophyta; Magnoliopsida; Ericales; Theaceae.